AACAGCCUUCCACUUUUCCCGCUCCCUCAGAGAAUUUUUGUUCUACCUCAGAGGAGUUCUGUUCUGCCUCAGAUGAGUUCUGUUCUCCUACAGAGGAUUUCUGAUAUACCUAUCUUUUCCUCCUGAGUCAGUUUGUUUCAGCCAACAACAAGAGAAAAGUUGAAGAACAGACAACAGAAGUAUUUUACACCUCUAGCUUUGAAAAAAUUCCAAUUCUGGAAUCAGGCACAAAAAUACUGAGCUUAUUCUGUUUAAAAACACGAAUAACUUUCAAAUAAUCAAUUCUAAAUAGCUAAUGAAAUAAACAAUUGAACUAA
Eurytemora carolleeae is the source of this 317-nucleotide long non-coding RNA. RefSeq lists it as uncharacterized. The record is from RefSeq and is a predicted model, not a curated record. NCBI's taxonomy places the organism in Eukaryota, Metazoa, Arthropoda, Copepoda, Calanoida, Temoridae. The transcript has 2 exons.